This 465-nucleotide ribosomal RNA is filed under the name uncultured bacterium. RNAcentral describes it as "partial 16S ribosomal RNA". It matches the Rfam family "Bacterial small subunit ribosomal RNA", at positions 28 to 507 of the family's 1533-position model. The record is from RNAcentral.
GACGAACGCUGGCGGCGUGCUUAACACAUGCAAGUCGAACGGAAAGGCCCCUUUGGGGGUACUCGAGUGGCGAACGGGUGAGUAACACGUGAGUAACCUGCCCUUGACUUCGGGAUAACUUCAGGAAACUGGGGCUAAUACCGGAUAGGAAUCCUUGCUGCAUGGUGGGGGUUGGAAAGCUUCGGCGGUUUUGGAUGGACUCGCGGCUUAUCAGCUUGUUGGUGGGGUAGUGGCUUACCAAGGCUUUGACGGGUAGCCGGCCUGAGAGGGCGACCGGCCACAUUGGGACUGAGAUACGGCCCAGACUCCUACGGGAGGCAGCAGUGGGGAAUAUUGCACAAUGGGCGGAAGCCUGAUGCAGCAACGCCGCGUGCGAGAUGACGGCCUUCGGGUUGUAAACCGCUUUCAGCAGGGGCGAAGCUUGUGGUGACGGUACCUGCAGAAGAAGCACCGGCUAACUACGUG